This is a long non-coding RNA of Lates calcarifer (barramundi perch), 629 nucleotides long. RefSeq lists it as uncharacterized. The record is from RefSeq and is a predicted model, not a curated record. Lineage: Eukaryota; Metazoa; Chordata; Actinopteri; Centropomidae. The transcript has 4 exons.
GUCAGCUGACCAAUCAGCGUUUUGACCGUCGACGUUGGCUGGCGUGUGUCGUCAUUGGUCCUGACCCCGUGACAGGAAGGAGGAGAGCAGAGCGGUGGAGAAACAAACACGGAAACCGACUGAAAAUACGGAGUAAAGUAACCGACGGUUUUUUUACACCGUGAGAGACGUCUUUGCUGAAGAAGUCUGGAAGCUACAACAAGCGUUGGAGCUGUUUUUGUCAAGCAUCAGUGAGGUUUGGACGCUGAACACACCGAGGGAAGGUGUCACUCCUUGGUCGUCCACUGCAGUCUUCGUAUGAAGUUGUUUGAGACAGAGUGGUCUCUGACAUGAGUUGUGCGUCCCUAACGUGGAUGGACAACAACAUGACAGACAUCUUUUGGCCUAUUAGGCACAGUGAGAGAAAGACAGGAAACGGGGAGAGAGUAGGGGAAUGACAUGCAGCAAGGGUCCGGACGGAUCGGGAGUUGAACCACCUGCUCAGACCAGGACCCACGUGGUGAUGUGGUCUCCUCCUUCUGCAGAGACAGAGAAUGUCUGUCACAGAGGCUGUCAAAAGCUUCAGGUCCUGCAACAAUUUUUUGUAAUACAGGAUUGUCUUACUCAAAUAAAUACUUCUGAAAACUGUA